AGAGUUUGAUCAUGGCUCAGGACGAACGCUGGCGGCGCGCCUAACACAUGCAAGUCGAACGAGCGAGAGAGAGCUUGCUUUCUCGAGCGAGUGGCGAACGGGUGAGUAACGCGUGAGGAACCUGCCUCAAAGAGGGGGACAACAGUUGGAAACGACUGCUAAUACCGCAUAAGCCCACGGCUCGGCAUCGAGCAGAGGGAAAAGGAGCAAUCCGCUUUGAGAUGGCCUCGCGUCCGAUUAGCUAGUUGGUGAGGUAAUGGCCCACCAAGGCGACGAUCGGUAGCCGGACUGAGAGGUUGAACGGCCACAUUGGGACUGAGACACGGCCCAGACUCCUACGGGAGGCAGCAGUGGGGAAUAUUGCACAAUGGGGGAAACCCUGAUGCAGCGACGCCGCGUGGAGGAAGAAGGUCUUCGGAUUGUAAACUCCUGUUGUUGAGGAAGAUAAUGACGGUACUCAACAAGGAAGUGACGGCUAACUACGUGCCAGCAGCCGCGGUAAAACGUAGGUCACAAGCGUUGUCCGGAAUUACUGGGUGUAAAGGGAGCGCAGGCGGGAAGGCAAGUUGGAAGUGAAAUCCAUGGGCUCAACCCAUGAACUGCUUUCAAAACUGUUUUUCUUGAGUAGUGCAGAGGUAGGCGGAAUUCCCGGUGUAGCGGUGGAAUGCGUAGAUAUCGGGAGGAACACCAGUGGCGAAGGCGGCCUACUGGGCACCAACUGACGCUGAGGCUCGAAAGUGUGGGUAGCAAACAGGAUUAGAUACCCUGGUAGUCCACACUGUAAACGAUGAUUACUAGGUGUUGGAGGAUUGACCCCUUCAGCGCCGCAGUUAACACAAUAAGUAAUCCACCUGGGGAGUACGACCGCAAGGUUGAAACUCAAAGGAAUUGACGGGGGCCCGCACAAGCAGUGGAGUAUGUGGUUUAAUUAGAUGCAACGCGAAGAACCUUACCAGUCCUUGACAUCCAACUGACCGACCAGUAACGUGGUCUUCUCUUCGGAGCAGUUGAGACAGGUGGUGCAUGGUUGUCGUCAGCUCGUGUCGUGAGAUGUUGGGUUAAGUCCCGCAACGAGCGCAACCCCUAUUCUUAGUAGCCAGCAGUAAGAUGGGAACUCUAGGGAGACUGCCGGGGAUAACCCGGAGGAAGGUGGGGACGACGUCAAAUCAUCAUGCCCCUUAUGGGCUGGGCUACACACGUGCUACAAUGGUGCUAACAGAGUGAGGCGAGACUGUGAAGUUAAGCAAAUCACAAAAAUGGCAUCUCAGUUCGGAUUGUAGUCUGCAACUCGACUACAUGAAGCUGGAAUCGCUAGUAAUCGCAGAUCAGAAUGCUGCGGUGAAUACGUUCCCGGGUCUUGUACACACCGCCCGUCACACCAUGGGAGUUGGGAAUGCCCGAAGCCGGUGACCUAACCGUAAGGAAGGAGCCGUCGAAGGCAGGCUCGAUAACUGGGGUGAAGUCGUAACAAGGUA
Molecule: ribosomal RNA, 1475 nt
Filed under: metagenome
Description: bacterial SSU rRNA
Rfam family: Bacterial small subunit ribosomal RNA
Source: RNAcentral